UUUCCAGUAGGAUUUUGUAAAGGAACAGCUCUGGCCGUAUCCGCCGUGCUGCGGCUUAUGAUCAGAAAUAACGAAAUAUCAUCGGCGUACUAAGUGCUUAUACCUUAAAUUAAUUAACAAACACAAAGGGUCGUUUUUUUCUUUCGGUUUAAGUAGAAAUGUGCCACGUGUGUGUGAAAAGUGAUUAGUGCGAUUGAUGUAUCAAAAAGGCUGUGAGCUUAGUGGUGUGGGUGAAUUAAUACAUAAAAAUGACGGAAUUCUUCGGAUCGUGGAACAAGCCCGAAGGCGAUGGAGAGGUGGAGGAGACCGUAGAAACUGUGGAAACGAUCACCACCACCACUACCAAGACAAAGAGGACAGUUCCACAAAAAUCGUCAUCGACCAAGACUACGACGAUGACGACGCCGGCGAAGCUGUUUGGUCGCGAGUUGUCCAACUACGAUGAAGUGGACGUAGAUGAGCUAUUGGCCAAGCUGUCACAAGAAGAGUUGACUAUGCUCGCCAAGGAGGUUGAUCCUGAUGACAACUUCCUCCCUCCCUCCCAGCGCAAUAACUACGACUGUGAGAAGGACCCUACGGGCCCUCUUAAUCGCAAGAAGUUGAUCGAGCACAUCAACAAACAGGCGCUCGAGACUCCAGACCGGCCCGAGGUCAAACCUUACGUCGCUGGAGUCAUUCGAGGGAAGAAGUGGAUCCCGCCGCCCCCACCAGAACGGACGCGCGAAGCGGACGAACAGAUCUCCAUCGACCUCGGCGAUGAGUACGAGCAGGCGUUGGGCACCGCGUCGCAGGAGGAAAUCAUUGACUUGGCUGCCAUCCUCGGUUUCCACUCGAUGAUGAACCAGGACCAGUACCACGCGUCACUCCUCAACAAGGGCCAGCCCGUGGGCCUGGGCUGGGAUGGCAUCACCAAAGCUACCAAGCCCAAGGUGUACCCCGCGGACCCGCCCAACGACACGGACCCGGACUCCACCAUCAAGAGCGUGCAGGACAACGACCAGAAGCUCACUGAUCUCAAUUGGAAUAAUAUUAAGAAUAUAAGCGACGAGAAAUUCGACAAGCUAUUCGAAGGCCUGAAGACGAACACGCACCUGGAGGUGCUGAGCCUGGUGAACGUGGGCCUCACGGACCGGCACGCGGCGCUGCUGGCCGCGGCGCUGCACGCCAACACGGCGCUGCGCGUCGUCAGCGUCGAGACCAACUUCAUCAGCCCCGCCGGCGUCGUGCAGCUCGUCAGGGCCUUGCUCACCAACAACACCGUCGAGGAGUUCCGCGCCUCCAACCAGCGGUCGACGGUGCUGGGCAACAAGAUCGAGAUGGAGAUCACUGCGCUGGUGGAGCAGAACCCCACGCUGCUGCGGCUCGGCCUGCACCUCGAGUACAGCGACGCGCGCCACCGCGUCGCCUCGCAUCUGCAGCGCAACAUCGACCGGAAUUGCCGAUUACAAAAGCGCGCGAGCGCCUCCCUAAGCCUCCGCCUGCCGCGCGGGCCGCCGCCCGGCGUCGGCGUCGACUCCAGCCUCUUCAACAUGACCCCGCCCAGCGCCGAGGCCGUCACGCCCACGGAGCCCCGCGUCGUCACCGAAACCGUAGAGGGCUCCGUCACUCUACAAGCGAAACCGCCAGAAUUCGACACCUCGGAACGAACUAUACCCGUCGAUUUGGAGCCUAACGGAGAAGACAAAUUUGUGAAGGCGGAACGACCCGACUUUAACCCCAAUCCCCACUCUACGGAAAGAUCUAACGCUGCGACUCCAGUUCAGGUUCUUUAACCAACUGCAAAAGGGCGCGCGUAGCCAAUAGAAGUAAAAGUACGCCAGCAGCGACGGAGCAAGACCAGCAACUAGAACCUUGAUCGACCCUUUUUGGUGGGCGCGUCCGCCGCGUGUCCCAGUUCACCCGCAGCCGCAGCUACGUGGUGGGCUGGAUCCCCUGAGCUUGCUGCCACUGCCUAUCUGCGCUCGCUGGCUACUAGGACCCGAGUGCUUGUGCGAAACAAUUCUUAUCUACUUAGACAUGGAUAAAAAUAUAUCAAUGCGGCGUAUGACUCGUAUGCUUUGGCAUGGGUCUUAAGUAUCCUUUUUUACCACGAAGGUGGUUAGGAAUGGCCUGUAAGGUUGUCCUGGGGCUCAUAUUAAUAUGCAUUGUCGACGCUGUGGUUGUGGACGCUGUGUGAACCCACGCUGCAACACAAGCGUGCCUUCGUGUUUACGAAGAAUGUGUUGACCUAAGGUCGCCAGAGUUUUCUGGUGGUGGUUAUCAUACUGGAUGCGAUUCGCACGUCGCUCCGAUGUGCGAGCGGGAUGUCGCUAUAAUACGCGCAUAGCGUUGUCUCGCUCAAACAUCGCAGCGAGCGCGAAUCGCAUCCAGUGAUAGUACAGAACUGUAUGCAGCAAAAGUCCGUAGUGUCGUAAUUUGAAACAAGUUUAUUUGAGCCAACUAAAAUUGAGCUAGCUAUGAACUGAGGAAAUUAUGGUGAUAGAUAAAUUACAUAAUGUUGAACUUUGAUUUUAAAAAGCCUAUUGCUAUUCUUUUACAAGAUUACAUCAAAAUGAAAUUUAUUUAUUUCGAUUAUAUUGUGUAAUAAUUUGCAAACACUAUUAGGACCACCACACGUCAGCGUCUCCCGAGCGUCAGCGUCUAGUCAACUCUAUGGCUGCUGCUCGACGCAACGUUGAUGCAACGGCGCAGCGACGCCAUUUUCCAUAGCGCUGACUAGACGCCGACGCUCAAAAGACGCUAGUGUAGAGUGGCCCUCAACUUGU
Molecule: RNA transcript, 2765 nt
Organism: Cydia pomonella (codling moth)
Lineage: Eukaryota; Metazoa; Arthropoda; Insecta; Lepidoptera; Tortricidae
Gene: tmod
Gene name: tropomodulin-1
Exons: 12
Source: RefSeq, a predicted model, not a curated record